Molecule: ribosomal RNA, 706 nt
Filed under: Microbacterium imperiale
Lineage: Bacteria; Bacillati; Actinomycetota; Actinomycetes; Micrococcales; Microbacteriaceae
Description: bacterial SSU rRNA
Rfam family: Bacterial small subunit ribosomal RNA
Source: RNAcentral
GGGUGAGUAACACGUGAGCAACCUGCCCCUGACUCUGGGAUAAGCGCUGGAAACGGCGUCUAAUACCGGAUAUGAGCUGCGAUCGCAUGGUCAGCAGUUGGAAAGAUUUUUCGGUCUGGGAUGGGCUCACGGCCUAUCAGCUUGUUGGUGAGGUAAUGGCUCACCAAGGCGUCGACGGGUAGCCGGCCUGAGAGGGUGACCGGCCACACUGGGACUGAGACACGGCCCAGACUCCUACGGGAGGCAGCAGUGGGGAAUAUUGCACAAUGGGCGAAAGCCUGAUGCAGCAACGCCGCGUGAGGGAUGACGGCCUUCGGGUUGUAAACCUCUUUUAGCAGGGAAGAAGCGAAAGUGACGGUACCUGCAGAAAAAGCGCCGGCUAACUACGUGCCAGCAGCCGCGGUAAUACGUAGGGCGCAAGCGUUAUCCGGAAUUAUUGGGCGUAAAGAGCUCGUAGGCGGUUUGUCGCGUCUGCUGUGAAAUCCCGAGGCUCAACCUCGGGUCUGCAGUGGGUACGGGCAGACUAGAGUGCGGUAGGGGAGAUUGGAAUUCCUGGUGUAGCGGUGGAAUGCGCAGAUAUCAGGAGGAACACCGAUGGCGAAGGCAGAUCUCUGGGCCGUUACUGACGCUGAGGAGCGAAAGGGUGGGGAGCAAACAGGCUUAAAUACCCUGGUAGUCCACCCCGUAAACGUUGGGAACUAGUUGU